RNAcentral lists this transfer RNA (79 nucleotides) under Paracoccaceae bacterium. RNAcentral describes it as "Rhodobacteraceae bacterium tRNA-Lys". It matches the Rfam family "tRNA". Rfam says of the family: Transfer RNA (tRNA) molecules are approximately 80 nucleotides in length. Their secondary structure includes four short double-helical elements and three loops (D, anti-codon, and T loops). Lineage: Bacteria; Pseudomonadati; Pseudomonadota; Alphaproteobacteria; Rhodobacterales; Paracoccaceae. The record is from RNAcentral.
GUGGGGUUAGGCGUCGUUGCGGGCUGACAGCUGACUUUUAAUCAGCUGGUCGUGGGUUCGAUACCCACCCCGCUCACCA